RNAcentral lists this long non-coding RNA (1892 nucleotides) under Homo sapiens (human). RNAcentral describes it as "HSALNT0408721". Lineage: Eukaryota; Metazoa; Chordata; Mammalia; Primates; Hominidae. The record is from RNAcentral.
AGAUCUGUGUGUGCGUUCGGUGUGUGGCCGGGUGUGGGGGGUGUGUGCGCGGAGCACGUUUUAGCUGGAGUGCUUGGUGUGGUGUGUAUUUGGUUUGCGCUUUGACAUGCAGCAUGUGUUUGUGUGUGCACGCUUAUAGGUUGUAUGUUUCUGCCCGAUUAUAGUGGGAUUAUGUGGGUGCGGUUUGAAGGUGGGUGUGUGCUGUUCCUGCCGGGGUUUGUGGUCGUGCUGUGGUGAGUGUAUAUGUGUGUGCAAUGUGUGGAUGUGUGUGUGCCCGUUGAAGCUUGUGUGCAUAUGUGUGGAGUGUGUUUAUGCUUAGAUGCAGUGUGUCAAUGUGGGUUUACAGGUGGUGUCUGUUGAACUGUGUAGUGUGUGAAUGUGUGCGUGUGCAAGAUUUCUCUAUAAGUCAAUCUACUUGAGAUGUGUGUUCAAAGGUUUAUGCAUGUGAGGGUGCGGUGUGUGUCUUUUGGUGUGAUGUUCUCAUGUGUGUGGUGUGGACGCAUGUGGUCAGCUUACGUGCUUGGAUGAAGGGGUUGUGUGUGUCUUGAAGGGGGAUUGCCGCGUAAGUGUAUGGGUGCGGUGUGUGAGAGUACAGGGUUGUCUAAAAGAACCCAAGUGACCGUGUGUGUGGUUGGGGGCGGGGACGAGUGGGACGUUGGGCUGGGACUGAGAGAAGAAAGGAAGUAGGGGCCGCGACCCCGGCAGGGGUUCCCGCUGGUCUGAUCUUCACCGUGGGGGUUCGCCUGCCCGCCCACCUCUGUGUCGGCAAGGCCCGCUGGGGCAGGGUGUGAAUGUACCUGGCUGCUUAAAGGAAAGAAGAGGAGGGCACCGCACGUGAUUGGCCAGGUAGGGCGCCUAGGGCGCGAUACAGGGGCUGGUGGGAGUAAGCUGGAAAGAUUCUUGGUCUCUGACCUGACACCCCUCCCCCGCCCAGGAGAUCCCAGCUGGUGCCUAGCUGAGCCCAACUAUUUGCUCAGGGCCUGGCUGUUUCACACCUUUUUGGCUUUGUGUGGGCAGAUCCAGUUGCCUGGAAGCCCUUUCCCCUUGGGCCUUGUGACAAACUCCUACUUAUUUUUUUUAAACCUAACUCCAGAAUCACAAAACUUUCUCUGCUCUUCUGUACUUUUCCCUCUCAACUGAGGGCUCGCUUCUUUGAGCCACCACAAUUACACCCUUCAUACUUCUCAUGCCAUGAUCAUACAUAACUGCAAUCAUUUCUUUCCCUUUUUAAACUCUGAACGGCUGUAGAGAAUACCUGGUAUGUAGCAAGGAUAGUUGUAAUAAUAAUAAUAAUGUUGCCAUUUGUUAAGUACCUACUGUGUACUGGGCAUUGUGCUAAGUGUUCUGACAUGCAUUAUCUCCUUGGGUCCUUACAAUGAUCCUGUAAGGUAGACAGAGCUAUAAUUAUUGCUAUUUUUACACUUCAUACAUCAGGCUCAGAGUAGUUAAGUAAUUUCCCCAAGAUCACACAGACCCUAGGAGGCUGAGCUGGUAUUUGAACUCAGGUCUACCAUAUUUCCUAAACCUGUAUUACAUACCAGGUGGCUUUACUAAGAGUCCCCUGAUUCCUGCUAGACAUUGAAGUUUCUAUCAAACAUUAUCAUUUCUCUACAAAUCUUUCUUUUGAGUUUACUGACAGCACCAAGAGUACUCAUCAUAAUUACUGUCUUUGUCUCCCAGACAGCGGAUACUUUCUCCACCUAAUUACCUGCUUUGUUGAUACUUCAAAAUCUGUAAUUACUCUAGGCACAAGUGCACCUCACUAGCUCCAGUUCUGGGAGCUCUCCGUAGGCUGGUGCUGAAAGAAAGAGUUGAAAAUGAACAUUUUCUAGCCACAGGGUCAGGGGAUUUGGGUAUGGAGGGAAAUGGAGGUGAAGAAUCAGGGUGGAGUA